AUGGACGAAAGUCUGACGGAGCAACGCCGCGAUGAGUGAUGAAGGUUUUCGGAUCGUAAAGCUCUGUUGUUAGGGAAGAACAAGUGCGAGAGUAACUGCUCGCACCUUGACGGUACCUAACCAGAAAGCCACGGCUAACUACGUGCCAGCAGCCGCGGUAAUACGUAGGUGGCAAGCGUUGUCCGGAAUUAUUGGGCGUAAAGGGCUCGCAGGCGGUUUCUUAAGUCUGAUGUGAAAGCCCCCGGCUCAACCGGGGAGGGUCAUUGGAAACUGGGAAACUUGAGUGCAGAAGAGGAGAGUGGAAUUCCACGUGUAGCGGUGAAAUGCGUAGAGAUGUGGAGGAACACCAGUGGCGAAGGCGACUCUCUGGUCUGUAACUGACGCUGAGGAGCGAAAGCGUGGGGAGCGAACAGGAUUAGAUACCCUGGUAGUCCACGCCGUAAACGAUGAGUGCUAAGUGUUAGGGGGUUUCCGCCCCUUAGUGCUGCAGCUAACGCAUUAAGCACUCCGCCUGGGGAGUACGGUCGCAAGACUGAAACUCAAAGGAAUUGACGGGGGNCCCGCACAAGCGGUGGAGCAUGUGGUUUAAUUCGAAGCAACCCG
This 603-nucleotide ribosomal RNA is filed under the name Bacillus sp. VG6B4. RNAcentral describes it as "bacterial SSU rRNA". It matches the Rfam family "Bacterial small subunit ribosomal RNA", at positions 371 to 963 of the family's 1533-position model. Lineage: Bacteria; Bacillati; Bacillota; Bacilli; Caryophanales; Bacillaceae. The record is from RNAcentral.